CCACAAUGGGNGGAAAAAUGAUCCAGCAAUGCCGCGUGUGUGAAGAAGGCCUUCGGGUUGUAAAGCACUUUUGUUAGGGAGGAANGUCCNGUAGCUAAUAACUGCUAGAUCUGACGUUACCUAAAGAAUCAGCACCGGCUAACUCUGUGCCAGCAGCCGCGGUAAUACAGAGGGUGCAAGCGUUAAUCGGACUUACUGGGCGUAAAGGGUCUGUAGGCGGAUUAUUAAGUCGGAUGUGAAAUCCCCGGGCUCAACCUGGGAACGGCAUUCGAUACUGGUAGUCUAGAGUGUGCAAGAGGAUGGGGGAAUUCCUGGUGUAGCAGUGAAAUGCGUAGAGAUCAGGAGGAACAUCAAUGGCGAAGGCACCUUUCUGGGGCAACACUGACGCUGAGAGACGAAAGCGUGGGGAGCAAACAGGAUUAGAUACCCUGNUAGUCCACGCCCUAAACGAUGUCAACUAACUGUUCGGAGUCACUAAGAUUCUGAGUAGUGAAGCUAACGCGAUAAGUUGACCGCCUGGGGAGUACGGCCGCAAGGUUGAAACUCAAAGGAAUUGACGGCGGGCGGGGG
RNAcentral lists this ribosomal RNA (570 nucleotides) under uncultured bacterium. RNAcentral describes it as "bacterial SSU rRNA". It matches the Rfam family "Bacterial small subunit ribosomal RNA", at positions 366 to 926 of the family's 1533-position model. The record is from RNAcentral.